GACGAACGCUGGCGGCGUGCCUAAUACAUGCAAGUUGAGCGAUGAAGAUUGGUGCUUGCACCAAUUUGAAGAGCAGCGAACGGGUGAGUAACGCGUGGGGAAUCUGCCUUUGAGCGGGGGACAACAUUUGGAAACGAAUGCUAAUACCGCAUAACAACUUUAAACAUAAGUUUUAAGUUUGAAAGAUGCAAUUGCAUCACUCAAAGAUGAUCCCGCGUUGUAUUAGCUAGUUGGUGAGGUAAAGGCUCACCAAGGCGAUGAUACAUAGCCGACCUGAGAGGGUGAAGGGCCAAACUGGGAAGUAGACACGGGCCAUAAGCCUGCGGGAGGAAGCAGUAGGGAAGUUGGCGAAAUGGGGGAAAGCGUGACGGAGAAACGGCGGGGGAGUGAUGAAGGGCUUGGGAUCUGAAAACUCUGUUAUCAGGGAAGAACAAAUGUGUAAGUAACUAGGCACGUCUUGAGGGGACCUAAUCAGAAAGCCACGGCUAACUACGUG
This 496-nucleotide ribosomal RNA is filed under the name uncultured bacterium. Its description in RNAcentral is "partial 16S ribosomal RNA". It matches the Rfam family "Bacterial small subunit ribosomal RNA", at positions 28 to 507 of the family's 1533-position model. The record is from RNAcentral.